GAUGAACGCUGGCGGUAUGCCUAACACAUGCAAGUCGAACGGAAUCUUCGGAUUUAGUGGCGGACGGGUGAGUAACGCGUGAGAAUCUGCCUUCAGGAUGGGGACAACAAUUGGAAACGAUUGCUAAUACCCGAUAUGACGAAAGUUGAAAGAUUUAUCGCCUGGGGAUGAGUUCGCGUCAGAUUAGCUAGAUGGUGUGGUAAAGGCGCACCAUGGCGACGAUCUGUAGCUGGUCUGAGAGGUUGAGCAGCCACACUGGGACUGAGACACGGCCCAGACUCCUACGGGAGGCAGCAGUGGGGAAUUUUCCGCAAUGGGCGCAAGCCUGACGGAGCAAUACCGCGUGAGGGAGGAAGGCUCUUGGGUCGUAAACCCCUUUUCUCAGGGAAGAACAAAAUGACGGUACCUGAGGAAUCAGCAUCGGCUAACUCCGUGCCAGCAGCCGCGGUAAUACGGAGGAUGCAAGCGUUAUCCGGAAUGAUUGGGCGUAAAGCGUCCGUAGGUGGUUAUGUAAGUCUGUGGUUAAAGCGUGGGGCUCAACCCCAUAGAGGCCAUGGAAACUACAAGACUUGAGUGAAGUAGGGGUAGAGGGAAUUCCCAGUGUAGCGGUGAAAUGCGUAGAGAUUGGGAAGAACACCGGUGGCGAAAGCGCUCCACUGGACUUAAACUGACACUGAGGGACGAAAGCUAGGGGAGCGAAAGGGAUUAGAUACCCCUGUAGUCCUAGCCGUAAACGAUGGAUACUAGGUGUUGCCCG
RNAcentral lists this ribosomal RNA (757 nucleotides) under uncultured cyanobacterium. RNAcentral's name for it is "bacterial SSU rRNA". It matches the Rfam family "Bacterial small subunit ribosomal RNA", at positions 28 to 829 of the family's 1533-position model. The record is from RNAcentral. Lineage: Bacteria; Bacillati; Cyanobacteriota.